This 467-nucleotide ribosomal RNA is filed under the name uncultured bacterium. Its description in RNAcentral is "partial 16S ribosomal RNA". It matches the Rfam family "Bacterial small subunit ribosomal RNA", at positions 28 to 507 of the family's 1533-position model. The record is from RNAcentral.
GACGAACGCUGGCGGCGUGCUUAACACAUGCAAGUCGAACGGAAAGGCUCCAGCUUGCUGGCGUACUCGAGUGGCGAACGGGUGAGUAACCCGUGGGUAAUCUGCCCUGCACUCUGGGAUAAGCCUGGGAAACUGGGUCUAAUACUGGAUAUGACCUUUCUCCUUAUGGGGUUUGGUGGAAAGUUUUUCGGUGUAGGAUGAGCCCGCGGCCUAUCAGCUUGUUGGUGGGGUGAUGGCCUACCAAGGCGACGACGGGUAGCCGGCCUGAGAGGGUGAGCGGCCACAUUGGGACUGAGAUACGGCCCAGACUCCUACGGGAGGCAGCAGUGGGGAAUAUUGCACAAUGGGCGGAAGCCUGAUGCAGCGACGCCGCGUGAGGGAUGACGGCCUUCGGGUUGUAAACCUCUUUCAGCAGGGACGAAGCGUAAGUGACGGUACCUGCAGAAGAAGCACCGGCUAACUAUGUG